Molecule: ribosomal RNA, 812 nt
Filed under: uncultured bacterium
Lineage: Bacteria
Description: bacterial SSU rRNA
Rfam family: Bacterial small subunit ribosomal RNA
Source: RNAcentral
CCCUUAGAGUUUGAUCCUGGCUCAGAACGAACGUUGGCGGCGUGGAUUAGGCAUGCAAGUCGAACGAGAAAGUCCCCUUCGGGGGGCGAGUAAAGUGGCGAACGGGUGAGUAACGCGUGGGAAAUCUGCCCUUGAACUGGGGAUAACACUCCUAACGGGGUGCUAAUACCGAAUGAGACCCCAAGGUCGCAUGGCCUGGAGGUUAAAGGUGGCCUCUAUUUAUAAGCUACCGAUCAAGGAUGGUCCCGCGUCCCAUUAGCUUGUUGGUGGGGUAAUGGCCUACCAAGGCUUCGAUGGGUAGCUGGUCUGAGAGGAUGGUCAGCCACACUGGGACUGAGAUACGGCCCAGACUCCUACGGGAGGCAGCAGUCGAGAGGCUUCGGCAAUGGGGGAAACCCUGACCGAGCGACGCCGCGUGGGCGAUGAAGGCCGUAAGGUUGUAAAGCCCUGUCAGGAGGGAAGAAACGCUGGUGGGUGAACAAUCCAUCGGUUUGACGGUACCUCCAGAGGAAGCUCCGGCUAACUCCGUGCCAGCAGCCGCGGUAAUACGGGGGGAGCAAACGUUGUUCGGAAUUACUGGGCGUAAAGGGUGCGCAGGCGGCUCGGUUAGUGGAAUGUGAAAUGCCCUGGCUUAACCAGGGAACUGCAUUCCAUACUGCCGGGCUUGAGUAUAGGAGAGGAUGGGGGAAUUCCCGGUGUAGCGGUGGAAUGCAUUGAUAUCGGGAGGAACACCAGUGGCGAAGGCGCCCAUCUGGCCUAAUACUGACGCUGAGGCACGAAAGCUAGGGGAGCAAACAGGAUUAGAUACCCUG